GAGGUUGUAGCUGGUCCCCCUCGGGGGGGUUGCAACGUGCACGCCUCGUCUCAUGUCUCUCACCCCUGUGCACCUCUGCGUUGGGUCCUGUCGUUUCGGGGCUCACGUCCUUUUCAUAAAAACAUGCAUGUACAAAAGAACGUCACACGUUUGUAUCAUCAUAUACAACUUUCAACAACGGAUCUCUUGGCUCUCGCAUCGAUGAAGAACGCAGCGAAAUGCGAUAAGUAAUGUGAAUUGCAGAAUUCAGUGAAUCAUCGAAUCUUUGAACGCACCUUGCGCCCCUUGGUAUUCCGAAGGGCACACCUGUUUGAGUAUCGUGAAAUCAUCAACCCCUUUCACAUCGUGUGGAAAAAGGGGCUUGGACUUUGGAGGUCUAUUGCUGGUCCCCUGGAUCGGCUCCUCUUGAAUGCAUUUAGUGGAGAGCAUCGUUCCUGCCCUUCGGUGUGAUAAUUCAUCUGCAUCGAUCGAGCGUAAGGGGACGUUCUCUGCUUCGAACGGUUGGGACUAUACCUUUUUGAUCUCAAAUCAGGUGGGACUACCCGCUGAACUUAAGCAUAUCAAUAAGCGGAGGAAAAGAAACUAACGAGGAUUCCCCUAGUAACUGCGAGUGAAGCGGGAAAAGCUCAAAUUUGAAAUCUGGCGGUCUCUGGCCGUCCGAGUGUAGU
This 668-nucleotide ribosomal RNA is filed under the name Leucogaster sp. OSC 66424. RNAcentral's name for it is "eukaryotic LSU rRNA". The stretch from base 167 to 320 matches the Rfam family "5.8S ribosomal RNA". The record is from RNAcentral. Lineage: Eukaryota; Fungi; Basidiomycota; Agaricomycetes; Boletales; Leucogastraceae.